Long non-coding RNA from Notolabrus celidotus (New Zealand spotty), 725 nucleotides. RefSeq lists it as uncharacterized. NCBI's taxonomy places the organism in Eukaryota, Metazoa, Chordata, Actinopteri, Labriformes, Labridae. The record is from RefSeq and is a predicted model, not a curated record. The transcript has 3 exons.
UCUUAUGGUCCCUGUGUUUUCCAGUUCCAGUGUUGACUUGUGACAGUGACAGUCACUUACUUUUCUGCUCCACGUGUUUUAGUUUGGACUGUUUUGGAUUUUUUUAAUGGACAUAUCUUCAGUCUAGCCAGCAGUUAGUGAUAAACGUCAGCCCUCUACGUGUUCAGGUCAAUGGCAAUGUAAAAUCUACAGAUACAUCUGCAAAAUAUCCCUGCAGUGGCCCAUUCAUCUGUUUCUGGUUGUCUGUGAGCACCAUGAAGCAGGAGUGACUCUGUACCAGACAGGAGGGACAGUCUGCUGCACAUGAAGGCACCUCGUUGCAUUUCAAUACUCAGUCUUUGGGUUUCCUCCAGACUUCCUUCGUUUCUUCUUAGUCUCUUCCCCUCUGAUAUCCUCAGCGCCUGGCCAAAAAAGUGCUGACUCUCGGCAAAGGAUGCUCAAAGACAGCCAAAUUUGAGCAGAAAAACUUAUCCGCUCUCUUGAUUAAAUCCAGUGAGAUUAUUGAAUAAGAUUCCAGCAGGCUUAAUUGCCACGGAUGGUCAUGGAAAGGGAAAAUAUAGGCAAAAGCCACAUCCAAACAGCUUCUAAACAAGGUGUCAGAGUUAUAAAGCUUCAGCAGCUGGUGUAGUAUCACCGACUUGAAAGCCUAUAAAGUCAUCCAUGAAACAAUGCCGAGUUGAUACGUAAUGAGUGUAAAUAUUUGCACUCAUUAUAAAUCUAAUAAA